RNAcentral lists this ribosomal RNA (497 nucleotides) under uncultured bacterium. Its description in RNAcentral is "partial 16S ribosomal RNA". It matches the Rfam family "Bacterial small subunit ribosomal RNA", at positions 28 to 507 of the family's 1533-position model. The record is from RNAcentral.
GAUGAACGCUGGCGGCGUGCCUAAUACAUGCAAGUCGAGCGAACAGAUGAGGAGCUUGCUCCUCUGACGUUAGCGGCGGACGGGUGAGUAACACGUGGAUAACCUACCUAUAAGACUGGUAUAACUUCGGGAAACCGGAGCUAAUACCGGAUAAUAUAUUGAACCGCAUGGUUCAAUAGUGAAAUACGGUUUUGCUGUCUCUUAUAGAUGGAUCCGCGCCGCAUUAGCUAGUUGGUAAGGUAACGGCUUACCAAGGCAACGAUGCGUAGCCGACCUGAGAGGGUGAUCGGCCACACGGGAACGGAGACACGGACCAGAGUCCUACGGGAGGCAGCAGUAGGGAAUCUUCCGCAAUGGGCGAAAGCAUGACGGAGCAACGCCGAGUGAGUGAUGAAGGUCUUCGGAUCGUAAAACUCUGUUAUUAGGGAAGAACAAAUGUGUAAGUAAAUAUGCACGUCUUGACGGUAACUAAUCAGAAAGCAACGGCUAACUACGUG